GAUGAAGAACGUAGCGAAAUGCGAUAAGUAAUGUGAAUUGCAGAAUUCAGUGAAUCAUCGAAUCUUUGAACGCACAUUGCGCCCCCUGGUAUUCCGGGGGGCAUGCCUGUUCGAGCGUCAUUUCACCACUCAAGCCUCGCUUGGUAUUGGGCAUCGCGGUCCGCCGCGCGCCUCAAAUCGACCGGCUGGGUCUUCUGUCCCCUAAGCGUUGUGGAAACUAUUCGCUAAAGGGUGUUCGGGAGGCUACGCCGUAAAACAACCCCAUGUCUAAGGUUGACCUCGGAUCAGGUAGGGAUACCCGCUGAACUUAAGCAUAUCAAUAAGCGGAGGA
This 331-nucleotide unclassified non-coding RNA is filed under the name soil metagenome. Its description in RNAcentral is "partial contains 5.8S ribosomal RNA, internal transcribed spacer 2, and large subunit ribosomal RNA". The stretch from base 1 to 120 matches the Rfam family "5.8S ribosomal RNA", at positions 35 to 154 of the family's 154-position model. The record is from RNAcentral.